RNAcentral lists this small nuclear RNA (196 nucleotides) under Arabidopsis halleri subsp. gemmifera. Its description in RNAcentral is "snRNA U2". It matches the Rfam family "U2 spliceosomal RNA". From Rfam's summary of the family: U2 is a small nuclear RNA (snRNA) component of the spliceosome (involved in pre-mRNA splicing). Lineage: Eukaryota; Viridiplantae; Streptophyta; Magnoliopsida; Brassicales; Brassicaceae. The record is from RNAcentral.
AUACCUUUCUCGGCCUUUUGGCUAAGAUCAAGUGUAGUAUCUGUUCUUAUCAGUUUAAUAUCUGAUAUGUGGGUCAUCGAUCCACACGAUAUUAACUCAAUUUUUUAAGGGAGAAAACCCGUUAAGAUAGCUUGCUAUCUGGGCUUUCACGAGUCGUMCAUGCGUUGCAUUACUGCACGGGCCUGGCUCAUCCGCC